RNAcentral lists this ribosomal RNA (253 nucleotides) under uncultured bacterium. Its description in RNAcentral is "partial 16S ribosomal RNA". It matches the Rfam family "Bacterial small subunit ribosomal RNA", at positions 524 to 776 of the family's 1533-position model. The record is from RNAcentral.
CACGUAGGGGGCAAGCGUUGUCCGGAUUUAUUGGGCGUAAAGAGCUCGUAGGUGGCUCGAUAAGUCGGGUGUUAAACCCCCAGGCUCAACCUGGGGCGCCACUCGAUACUGUCGUGGCUAGAGUCCGGUAGGGGAGCGUGGAAUUCCUGGUGUAGCGGUGAAAUGCGUAGAUAUGCGGAGGAACACCGAUGGCGAAGGCAAUCCCCUGGACCUGUACUGACGCUCAUGCACGAAAGCGUGGGGAGCAAACAGG